This 62-nucleotide transfer RNA is filed under the name Eisenia nordenskioldi nordenskioldi. RNAcentral describes it as "tRNA-Ala". Lineage: Eukaryota; Metazoa; Annelida; Clitellata; Crassiclitellata; Lumbricidae. The record is from RNAcentral.
UGUAACUUAGUUUAUUUAGAACCGUCAACUUGCAUUUGACAGGAGAGACUUCUCAGUAGCGG